Molecule: transfer RNA, 61 nt
Filed under: Meghimatium bilineatum
Lineage: Eukaryota; Metazoa; Mollusca; Gastropoda; Stylommatophora; Philomycidae
Description: tRNA-Tyr
Source: RNAcentral
CAUUUAGAAGCUAUUUAUUGCAUAGAAUUGUAAAUUCUAAAUUUGGAUUUUUUCCCUAAAU